UUACCACAAAACAUUGGAGCUUGGCGGAUGCCGUGAGUUAGCUGAAGUUGUAACUGAUGAUGUAAAUAGUAGCGGCAGCCACUGUGAGAGGGAAAACCCUGAGGAGGAUGAUGCAGAGAACAAUGAAAUGCUUGGUGGCAUAUUUGCCUUUUCUGAAGAAGGUUGAUUUAUAGCUUUUAUAGCUUCCCUUUGGUCCGGAUCAUGGAAGAAGUGCAAUGGUUCAGUAGGUGUGCAUAAAUGGGGGUGAUCAGAGCACAGAAUGUGAUCAUCCCCCUUUCUCUCUUGUACAUUUUGUAGAUGGAAAUUCAUAAAUUCAUGGGCAUGGGGUUGGGUUUGAA
This is a long non-coding RNA of Vitis vinifera (wine grape), 338 nucleotides long. RefSeq lists it as uncharacterized. The record is from RefSeq and is a predicted model, not a curated record. The transcript is spliced from 2 exons. Lineage: Eukaryota; Viridiplantae; Streptophyta; Magnoliopsida; Vitales; Vitaceae.